RNAcentral lists this ribosomal RNA (497 nucleotides) under uncultured bacterium. RNAcentral's name for it is "partial 16S ribosomal RNA". It matches the Rfam family "Bacterial small subunit ribosomal RNA", at positions 28 to 507 of the family's 1533-position model. The record is from RNAcentral.
GUUGAACGCUGGCGGCGUGCCUAAUACAUGCAAGUCGAGCGAAAACACGAGGAGCUUGCUCCUCUGACGUUAGCGGCGGACGGGUGAGUAACAUGUGGAUAACCUACCUAUAAGGCUGGGAUAACUUCGGGAAACCGGUGCUAAUACCGGAUAAUAUAUUGAACCGCAUGGUGCAAUAGUGAAAGACGGUUUUGCUGUCACUUAUAGAUGGAUCCGCGCCGCAUUAGCUAGUUGGUAAGGUAACGGCUUACCAAGGCAACGAUGCGUAGCCGGUCUGAGAGGAUGAUCAGCCACACUGGAACUGAGACACGGUCCAGACUCCUACGGGAGGCAGCAGUGGGGAAUCUUGCGCAAUGGGCGAAAGCCUGACGCAGCAAUGCCGCGUGAGUGAUGAAGGUCUUCGGGUUGUAAAGCUCUUUUAUCAGGGAAGAACAAAUGUGUAAGUAUCCAUGCGCGUCUUGACGGUACCGGAUGAAAAAGCCACGGCUAACUACGUG